UACGAAGGGGGCUAGCGUUGCUCGGAAUCACUGGGCGUAAAGCGCACGUAGGCGGAUUGCUAAGUCAGGGGUGAAAUCCUGGAGCUCAACUCCAGAACUGCCUUUGAUACUGGCGAUCUUGAGUCCGGGAGAGGUGAGUGGAACUGCGAGUGUAGAGGUGAAAUUCGUAGAUAUUCGCAAGAACACCAGUGGCGAAGGCGGCUCACUGGCCCGGUACUGACGCUGAGGUGCGAAAGCGUGGGGAGCAA
RNAcentral lists this ribosomal RNA (248 nucleotides) under uncultured bacterium. Its description in RNAcentral is "partial 16S ribosomal RNA". It matches the Rfam family "Bacterial small subunit ribosomal RNA", at positions 524 to 771 of the family's 1533-position model. The record is from RNAcentral.